Molecule: ribosomal RNA, 506 nt
Filed under: Scylla paramamosain (green mud crab)
Lineage: Eukaryota; Metazoa; Arthropoda; Malacostraca; Decapoda; Portunidae
Description: partial 16S ribosomal RNA
Rfam family: Bacterial large subunit ribosomal RNA
Source: RNAcentral
GACAAAAAUGUUAAAUAGCCGCGGUAUUUUGACCGUGCAAAGGUAGCAUAAUCAUUAGUUUUUUAAUUGAAAACUUGUAUGAAUGGUUGGACAAAGAAAAAGCUGUCUCUUUUAUUUGAAUUGAAAUUAACUUCUAAGUGAAAAGGCUUAGAUUUUUUAGAGGGACGAUAAGACCCUAUAAAGCUUUAUAAGUUAAGUAAGUUAAAUUAAUUUUUUUAAAUAAAAAUAAGCUUAAAAAAUUUAUUUGGUUGGGGCGACAAUGGUAUAAAUUAAAUAACUGCUAUUAAAAUUAAGCAAUUAUAUUUGAUUAGAAUUAUAAUUGAUCCUUAUUAUGGAUUAAAAGAUCAAGUUACUUUAGGGAUAACAGCGUAAUUUCUUUUGAGAGUUCUUAUCAAAGAAGAAGUUUGCGACCUCGAUGUUGAAUUAAAAUGUCUUUAUAGUGCAGAAGCUAUAAAAGAAGGUCUGUUCGACCUUUAAUUUUUUACAUGAUCUGAGUUCAGACCGGA